RNAcentral lists this ribosomal RNA (469 nucleotides) under uncultured bacterium. RNAcentral describes it as "partial 16S ribosomal RNA". It matches the Rfam family "Bacterial small subunit ribosomal RNA", at positions 28 to 507 of the family's 1533-position model. The record is from RNAcentral.
GACGAACGCUGGCGGCGUGCUUAACACAUGCAAGUCGAACGGAAAGGCCCUGCUUUUGUGGGGUGCUCGAGUGGCGAACGGGUGAGUAACACGUGAGUAACCUGCCCUUGACUUUGGGAUAACUUCAGGAAACUGGGGCUAAUACCGGAUAGGAGCUCCUGCUGCAUGGUGGGGGUUGGAAAGUUUCGGCGGUUGGGGAUGGACUCGCGGCUUAUCAGCUUGUUGGUGGGGUAGUGGCUUACCAAGGCUUUGACGGGUAGCCAGCCUGAGAGGGUGACCGGCCACAUUGGGACUGAGAUACGGCCCAGACUCCUACGGGAGGCAGCAGUGGGGAAUAUUGCACAAUGGGCGGAAGCCUGAUGCAGCAACGCCGUGUGCGGGAUGACGGCCUUCGGGUUGUAAACCGCUUUCGCUCAUGACGAAGCUUUGUGUGACGGUAGUGGGUAAAGAAGCACCGGCUAACUACGUG